GACGAACGCUGGCGGCGUGCCUAAUACAUGCAAGUCGAACGAACCGCGACUAAGUGCUUGCACUAAGUCAAGGUGAGUGGCGAACGGGUGAGUAACACGUGGGUAACCCACCUCAUAGUGGGGGAUAACAGUCGGAAACGACUGCUAAUACCGCAUAGGACAUAGGAUCACAUGAUCCAGUGAGGAAAGUUGGCGCAAGCUAUCGCUAAGAGAUGGACCCGCGGUGCAUUAGCUAGUUGGUAGGGUAAAGGCCUACCAAGGCGAUGAUGCAUAGCCGAACUGAGGGGGUGAUCGGCCACAUUGGGACUGAAACACGGCCCAAACUCCUACGGGAGGCAGCAGUAGGGAAUCUUCCGCAAUGGACGCAAGUCUGACGGAGCAACGCCGCGUGAGUGAAGAAGGUCUUCGGAUCGUAAAGCUCUGUUGUUAGAGAAGAACAGCGCAUAGAGUAACUGCUAUGCGUGUGACGGUAUCUAACCAGAAAGCCACGGCUAACUACGUG
RNAcentral lists this ribosomal RNA (502 nucleotides) under uncultured bacterium. Its description in RNAcentral is "partial 16S ribosomal RNA". It matches the Rfam family "Bacterial small subunit ribosomal RNA", at positions 28 to 507 of the family's 1533-position model. The record is from RNAcentral.